RNAcentral lists this ribosomal RNA (498 nucleotides) under uncultured Acidobacteriota bacterium. RNAcentral's name for it is "bacterial SSU rRNA". It matches the Rfam family "Bacterial small subunit ribosomal RNA", at positions 381 to 896 of the family's 1533-position model. The record is from RNAcentral. Lineage: Bacteria; Pseudomonadati; Acidobacteriota.
GUCUGACGCAGCAACGCCGCGUGAGGGAUGACGGCCUUCGGGUUGUAAACCUCUUUGUCAGGGACGAUGAUGACGGUACCUGGCGAAUAAGCCACGGCUAACUACGUGCCAGCAGCCGCGGUAAUACGUAGGUGGCAAGCGUUGUCCGGAUUUACUGGGCGUAAAGAGCGCGCAGGCGGUCGUUCAAGUCGCGUGUGAAAGCCCCCGGCUCAACUGGGGAGGGUCACGCGAUACUGAUCGACUCGAAGGCAGGAGAGGGAAGUGGAAUUCCCGGUGUAGUGGUGAAAUGCGUAGAUAUCGGGAGGAACACCAGUGGCGAAGGCGACUUCCUGGCCUGUUCUUGACGCUGAGGCGCGAAAGCUAGGGGAGCAAACGGGAUUAGAUACCCCGGUAGUCCUAGCCGUAAACGAUGGACACUAGGUGUUGGUGGUAUCAACCCCGCCAGUGCCGAAGCUAACGCAUUAAGUGUCCCGCCUGGGGAGUACGGCCGCAAGGCUA